GACGUAGGGCGCGAGCGUUGUCCGGAUUUAUUGGGCGUAAAGAGCUCGUAGGCGGCUUGUCGCGUCGAAUGUGAAAACUCGGGGCUCAACUCCGAGCUUGCAUUCGAUACGGGCAGGCUAGAGUUCGGUAGGGGAGACUGGAAUUCCUGGUGUAGCGGUGAAAUGCGCAGAUAUCAGGAGGAACACCGGUGGCGAAGGCGGGUCUCUGGGCCGAUACUGACACUGAGGAGCGAAAGCGUGGGGAGCGAACAGG
RNAcentral lists this ribosomal RNA (253 nucleotides) under uncultured bacterium. Its description in RNAcentral is "partial 16S ribosomal RNA". It matches the Rfam family "Bacterial small subunit ribosomal RNA", at positions 524 to 776 of the family's 1533-position model. The record is from RNAcentral.